CGUAAAUGAAACUCCGAUUACUGGCCAAGUAAAGGCCAAAGUCAAUGUUGAAUUUCCGGUUAACAUCUUGAUUUCCUGGCUCAGGUCCACUAGAAUUUAAUUUACACAACAAUUUAAAUCUCUCAAGAUAAAAGAUUCUUUUUUGUUUAUGUUGAAUUGUUUCCGAUUGGAAGAAGAAAAAAUCUCACUUACACUUCGAUAAUCAAUGGGAAUUUGAUUUCUUCUGCUUCUCUCAAAGCCGGAGGCAAUAUAAGUCUCACUUCAGCCGCUGAUGUUUGGAUUUCAAUGGCUGAUCAACAAUCAAUGGAACUUGACGAUAUUAACAAUCUAAGUUUUCCAAUGGACUUUCGUUCAUUUCACUCACCAUAAUCCGGAGAAAUAGGAACUCGGAACGAUCUCAUCUGAGGAAAUGCUCUUUCCUCGACAAUCUCUCUCAACCUUUUAUCCGUCGGCGUUUGUAGCACUGUAAUUGAAAUUUAAAUGGUACAAAUGGUUAACAAUGGUGCCAAUUAUCGUAAAUUGUUGGUUGAGAGAAUGAAGUUUUGAUGAUUAUUAUGCAAAUCAGAGUUGAUUUAACAUUUCAAGGGAUCCGAUAAACAAGAAGGAUAAGGAAGAUGAGAGACAAAAAAUCACACGAAAGGUUUAAUCUCAAGGGAGAUUUUUGGCUGAAAUGGUUAUGUUCAUGGAAAGAAAAAAAACAAGGAAAAGAUUGAUAAUGACGCAAAGAGAAAAAGGCUGAUAUUCCAGACGAUGAAGAUGGAAAUCCUUGGAAAAUUCUGGGAUAAAGAUGCAAAUAAUGAGUUUAACAUGGAAAAAAAAGGAAUUCAAAGGAUGGAACAAAUGAAAGAAUAGGAUGAUAAUGAUGAUGGUAGAGGAGGAUGAAUGAGAAAUUCUACAAGAGAGAGAGAGAGAGAAGAAUAAAAGGGAAAAAGGAUACAUAGAUGAUGAUCAAUUGAUUCUGAUUAUAAUUCACUAUUUUAUUCCUUUUACUUCAUUAUUUCUAUUCUCUUCUAAUACUUUUUCUUUCUCUCAACCAUCGUUCGUUUUUCUUACAUAUAUC
Molecule: long non-coding RNA, 1060 nt
Organism: Panonychus citri (citrus red mite)
Lineage: Eukaryota; Metazoa; Arthropoda; Arachnida; Trombidiformes; Tetranychidae
Exons: 5
Source: RefSeq, a predicted model, not a curated record